AUUGAACGCUGGCGGCAGGCCUAACACAUGUAAGUCGAGUGAGCGGCGGACGGGAGAGUAAUGUAUGGGGCCUGCCCGAUAGAGGGGGAUCACUACUGGAAACGGUGGCUAAUACCGCAUACUAACGGAUAACCACUAUGGGAUUCGCUAGUAGGUGGGGUAAAGGCUCACCUAGGCGACGAUCUCUAGCUGAUCUGAGAGACUGAACAGCCAAACUGGGACUGAGACACGGCCCAGACGCCUACGGAGGGAGAAGUGGGGAAUAUUGCACAAUGGGCGAAAGCCUGAUGCAGCCAUGCCGCGUGUAUGAAGAAGGCCUUAGGGUUGUAAAGUACUGUCAGCGGGGAGGCGUUACCCGCAGAAGAAGCACCGGCUAACUCCGUGCCAGCCGCCGCGGUAAUAC
Molecule: ribosomal RNA, 403 nt
Filed under: uncultured bacterium
Lineage: Bacteria
Description: partial 16S ribosomal RNA
Rfam family: Bacterial small subunit ribosomal RNA
Source: RNAcentral